This 629-nucleotide ribosomal RNA is filed under the name Aspergillus fumigatus. RNAcentral describes it as "eukaryotic LSU rRNA". It matches the Rfam family "Eukaryotic large subunit ribosomal RNA", at positions 25 to 668 of the family's 3401-position model. The record is from RNAcentral. Lineage: Eukaryota; Fungi; Ascomycota; Eurotiomycetes; Eurotiales; Aspergillaceae.
CCGUUGAACUUAAGCAUAUCAAUAAGCGGGAGGAAAAGAAACCAACAGGGAUUGCCUCAGUAACGGCGAGUGAAGCGGCAAGAGCUCAAAUUUGAAAGCUGGCCCCUUCGGGGUCCGCGUUGUAAUUUGCAGAGGAUGCUUCGGGUGCAGCCCCCGUCUAAGUGCCCUGGAACGGGCCGUCAUAGAGGGUGAGAAUCCCGUCUGGGACGGGGUGUCUGCGUCCGUGUGAAGCUCCUUCGACGAGUCGAGUUGUUUGGGAAUGCAGCUCUAAAUGGGUGGUAAAUUUCAUCUAAAGCUAAAUACUGGCCGGAGACCGAUAGCGCACAAGUAGAGUGAUCGAAAGAUGAAAAGCACUUUGAAAAGAGAGUUAAACAGCACGUGAAAUUGUUGAAAGGGAAGCGUUUGCGACCAGACUCGCCCGCGGGGUUCAGCCGGCAUUCGUGCCGGUGUACUUCCCCGUGGGCGGGCCAGCGUCGGUUUGGGCGGCCGGUCAAAGGCCCUCGGAAUGUAUCACCUCUCGGGGUGUCUUAUAGCCGAGGGUGCAAUGCGGCCUGCCUGGACCGAGGAACGCGCUUCGGCUCGGACGCUGGCGUAAUGGUCGUAAAUGACCCGUCUUGAAACACGGACCA